AACGAACGCUGGCGGCGUGCUUAACACAUGCAAGUCGAACGCGAAAGAGUUCUUCGGAACUUGAGUAGAGUGGCGCACGGGUGAGUAACGCGUAAGUGAUCUACCCCUGUAUCUGGGAUAACUAUGGGAAACUGUAGCUAAUACCGGAUACGUUCAUGUUCUUGCGAGUAUAUGAAGAAAGAUGGCCUCUGAUUCAAGCUAUUGUACAGGGAGGAGCUUGCGUACCAUUAGCUAGUUGGUAGGGUAAUGGCCUACCAAGGCAACGAUGGUUAGCGGGUCUGAGAGGAUGAUCCGCCACACUGGAACUGAGACACGGCCCAAACUCCUACGGGUGGCAG
RNAcentral lists this ribosomal RNA (338 nucleotides) under uncultured Pseudomonadota bacterium. Its description in RNAcentral is "bacterial SSU rRNA". It matches the Rfam family "Bacterial small subunit ribosomal RNA", at positions 29 to 351 of the family's 1533-position model. Lineage: Bacteria; Pseudomonadati; Pseudomonadota. The record is from RNAcentral.